Molecule: ribosomal RNA, 460 nt
Filed under: uncultured bacterium
Lineage: Bacteria
Description: partial 16S ribosomal RNA
Rfam family: Bacterial small subunit ribosomal RNA
Source: RNAcentral
CCUACGGGUGGCAGCAGUGAGGAAUAUUGGUCAAUGGGCGAGAGCCUGAACCAGCCAAGUCGCGUGAAGGAUGACGGCCCUACGGGUUGUAAACUUCUUUUUGCAGGGAGCUAUUGAGUCCACGUGUGGUCUUAGCGAGAGUACCUUAAGAAAAAGCAUCGGCUAACUCCGGGCCAGCAGCCGCGGUAAUACGGAGCAUGCGAGCGUUAUCCGGAUUUAUUGGGUUUAAAGGGUGGGUAGGCGGAAUAUCAAGUCAGCGGUAAAAAUUCGGGGCUCAACACAGUAGUGCCGUUGAAACUGAGGUUCUUGAGUGGGCGAGAAGUAUGUGGAAUGCGUGGUGUAGCGGUGAAAUGCAUAGAUAUCACGAGGAACUCCGAUUGCGAAGGCAGCAUACCGGCGCCCAACUGACGCUGAAGCACGAAAGCGUGGGUAUCGAACAGGAUUAGAUACCCGGGUAGUC